This 253-nucleotide ribosomal RNA is filed under the name uncultured bacterium. RNAcentral describes it as "partial 16S ribosomal RNA". It matches the Rfam family "Bacterial small subunit ribosomal RNA", at positions 524 to 776 of the family's 1533-position model. The record is from RNAcentral.
UACGAAGGGGGCUAGCGUUGCUCGGAAUCACUGGGCGUAAAGGGUGCGUAGGCGGGCCUUUAAGUAAGGGGUGAAAUCCUGGAGCUCAACUCCAGAACUGCCUUUGAUACUGAAGAUCUUGAGUUCGGGAGAGGUGAGUGGAACUGCGAGUGUAGAGGUGAAAUUCGUAGAUAUUCGCAAGAACACCAGUGGCGAAGGCGGCUCACUGGCCCGAUACUGACGCUGAGGCACGAAAGCGUGGGGAGCAAACAGG